This 253-nucleotide ribosomal RNA is filed under the name uncultured bacterium. RNAcentral's name for it is "partial 16S ribosomal RNA". It matches the Rfam family "Bacterial small subunit ribosomal RNA", at positions 524 to 776 of the family's 1533-position model. The record is from RNAcentral.
GACGGAGGAUGCAAGCGUUAUCCGGAAUUAUUGGGCGUAAAGGGUGCGUAGGUGGUCGGACAAGUCCCUUGUCAAAGCAUGGUGCUUAACGCCAUAAAGGCGUGGGAAACUGUCAGACUAGAGUACAGGAGGGGCAGAAGGAAUUCCCGGUGUAGCGGUGAAAUGCGUAGAUAUCGGGAAGAACACCAGAGGCGAAAGCGUUCUGCUGGGCCGUAACUGACACUGAGGCACGAAAGCUAGGGGAGCGAAAGGG